Molecule: ribosomal RNA, 672 nt
Filed under: Acanthamoeba cf. healyi
Lineage: Eukaryota; Discosea; Longamoebia; Acanthamoebidae
Description: partial 18S ribosomal RNA
Rfam family: Eukaryotic small subunit ribosomal RNA
Source: RNAcentral
UCAUUUCUUUGAAAUAGAUAGAUUUUUCUGGGGCGCGGCUCGUUCGUCGUCAAAAAAUAAAAUGUGCGAAGCAGGCAGAUUUAUUUAUUCUGUCUCCGAAGCAUUCGCUUGCGAAUAAGUAAAUAAAUACCUCUCUUCCUUUCUAGUGUGGGUUUGUUAUUAACAGGUAAUUAUUAAUAGUAGGUUAGGGCGGGCAUUUUAAUUAAUGUGGUAAAAUAAGGUUUUAUUAAGAUUAAUUACUUUGUAGCAACCGCCAGCAGUUUUCUUUAAUUAAUAAAAAAGUAAGGGGGGGAAGCGGUCGGUCACCGUCGUUGUUUUUCUUAUAAAUAAUCCCGGCCGGCCAUUAAUUGGGGUUCGUUAAAAAAAACCCCCCAUUAAUUCGCUCGUUUUUUUUAAAAAUUAUCCCACAUGCAAAUGUGUGGGUGUGUUUUAAGGGGCGCGAUUUGUCUUAAUGGCCCGGUGAAUGACUCCCCUAGCAGCUUGUGAGAAAUCAUAAGUCUUUGGGUUCCGGGGGGAGUAUGGUCGCAGGCUGAAACUUAAGGAAUUGACGGAAGGCACCACCAGAGUGGAGCCUGCGGCUUAAUUGACUCAACACGGGGAAACUUACCAGUCCGGACAUGUAGGAUGAAAUGAUGCUCUUUCUGAUUCUAGGGUGUGUGCAGGCCGUUCUUA